GGUUCACCAGUGACUUGGUGACAACCAGCCUUGCUCAGGAAGCGUCAGCCGUAUCCUUUCUGUGUGCAGUGGGGUGUGGGUUGUGUGGAGCCGCGGUGUCUGUGGAGUUCACAGGCUGGGGUCGGAAUCCAUGGCCCCCGUCGCCGCUGCCACCCCCCAGGCAUUUGUUUUAUUGCUCUUUUUUCACCAACUCAAACUGAAUGGUCACCUUAACAGUUUUAUUGAGAUCCAUUAUUUAUUCUUCUCCAUCUUGUUCUGUGUUCCUGGAAGCCAACCUUUAUAAGCUGCAGGAAAUGGACUUCCUACUCUCCAGCUUCUGAUUGGGCUUGACCAACGGGGAGCACUGGCAGAAGACAAGCAUGGGAGGAAAAAGAGAUCAGGGUAUUCAUUUCCCCAGAUCCCUCCCUGUCCUCUACUUAAAGGUCAUAAGUCCAUCCAGGUGUCAUCUCUUAUGUAGGAUUCUAGCGACAUCUUCUCCCCUUGUUCCUUUAGGCUUAGGAGUAAUAACACUUUUCUGUUCUUGCUAGUCCUGAGGAUAAGUGUUUUGUCACCUCUUGUUGAUUUCCCUGACUUCAAAUACCAAACACUAUUUUUUUUCUAUUUUUGAACUUUAUGUAAGUAGAAUCAUACAGUAUAUAUUUUGGGGGGUAAGGUUUUUUUUUGUUUUGUUUUACUCAAUAAUAGGUUUGUGAGCAUCAUCCAUGCUAUUGCAUAAAACAGUAGUUUGUUUUCAUUGCUGCAUAGUAUUUUUCACUUAUACAUUGUACUAUUAAUAAAUAUUUGAGGGUUUUUUUCCCCAAAA
RNAcentral lists this long non-coding RNA (802 nucleotides) under Pan troglodytes (chimpanzee). RNAcentral's name for it is "lincRNA". The record is from RNAcentral. Lineage: Eukaryota; Metazoa; Chordata; Mammalia; Primates; Hominidae.